UUUUUUUUUUUGUUUUUUUUUUUUAGUUUAAACUUGAUUUUGUGAGGGGACGAACAGCGUGACAAUUAAAAGAAGAUCUGGGAAUCAAAAGCUUCCUGAGGCCUUCACCAGAAGCAGAUGCUGGUGCCGUGCUUCUACAGCCUGCAGAACUGAAGGACUUUACAGCUUCUCUUUCGCAUAUCCAAAUUGCCAGCAUCACCGCUCUUGCACUCCAAGCCAUUAUUAAGUAAAGUAAAGAACACAAACACUGUGAUACUGCUACACUUGAUCUGAUAACCAAGAAGUCUACUAAGUGACUAACAGAGCAACUGGGAACCUAAUUCUGACCAAAAAGGAGGAAUUGUUUGGCUAAUUGGAAGUGACAGAAACCUUGGGAGAAAGCAACCGCAUACCAAGGAUAAUUAUAAGAAGAAGAGAAGACAUGGAGAAGAGGAGGGAGUAGUUGUGACCGUGGAGGCAGAGAAUGGAGUAAUGUGAUCAUAAAUCAAGGAAUGCUGACAGCCACUAAAGCUGGAGAAGGCCAAGGACAGAUAUUCAAUCCUCCCGUAGAAGUACAGCCCUGCUAAUGCAUUGAUUUUGGACUUCUGGCCUCAGAACUGUAAGAGAAUAAAUUUCUAUUGUUUUAA
Molecule: long non-coding RNA, 626 nt
Filed under: Homo sapiens (human)
Lineage: Eukaryota; Metazoa; Chordata; Mammalia; Primates; Hominidae
Description: TMEM161B divergent transcript
Source: RNAcentral